Molecule: ribosomal RNA, 500 nt
Filed under: uncultured bacterium
Lineage: Bacteria
Description: bacterial SSU rRNA
Rfam family: Bacterial small subunit ribosomal RNA
Source: RNAcentral
AUUGAACGCUGGCGGAAUGCUUUACACAUGCAAGUCGAACGGCAGCACGGGGCAACCUGGUGGCGAGUGGCGAACGGGUGAGUAAUACAUCGGAACGUGCCCAAUCGUGGGGGAUAACGUAGCGAAAGUUACGCUAAUACCGCAUACGAUCUACGGAUGAAAGCGGGGGAUCGCAAGACCUCGCGCGAGUGGAGCGGCCGAUGUCAGAUUAGGUAGUUGGUGGGGUAAAGGCUCACCAAGCCAACGAUCUGUAGCUGGUCUGAGAGGACGACCAGCCACACUGGAACUGAGACACGGUCCAGACUCCUACGGGAGGCAGCAGUGGGGAAUUUUGGACAAUGGGCGCAAGCCUGAUCCAGCCAUUCCGCGUGCAGGAUGAAAGGCCUUCGGGUUGUAAACUGCUUUUGUACGGAACGAACGGCGAGCUCUAAUACAGUUUGCUAAUGACGGUACCGUAAGAAUAAGCACCGGCUAACUACGUGCCAGCAGACCGCGGUAAU